UCCAAAACCCAAAAACUUACCAGCCUCUCCAGCUUCUGCAUUUGGCUAUUGAACAUCUCCCCAUACCUCUUCAGUUGGAAUGGGGGUUUUGUGUAGCAACGCUGUUGUUGGAACCUUACCGUCGGCAACCCAAGCAUCCCAUUGUUAUUACCUUAACCCUUUGCUGAACGAUCCAUCUGAUACGUGCACUCCCAUAAAUUUGAUCACCCCAACCGACAAUCCUCACCGAGCUUGAGAAAAAUCUGCAACUUGCAAUUAGUCCCGCGAAGAAAGAUCAUCAAAUCAUUUUCUACAUGUCGCAGAGCAAUUAAGUCGAAUUCCAAUCCCUUAUUACAUAUAGGAAACCCGGGUAGACAGGCCUAGAGUUCUUCAGAGCAGAGAUUAAGAGUGCUAUUCAGGAUAGUAAACCGUGUCAGGUGUGGGUAAUUGCCUGGAGAGGCAGCUGCGCCUAGAAGUAGCGGACCAAGCAUGGGGUAUCACUUAAAGAGGAGGGCUCCGUCCUGUAAGGAGUGUGCAAUGGAGGGCUCCACCCUGUAAGGAGUGUUGUAAGUGGUUUUGCUCCACCCGAUUAACGGAGCAAGAUAGUGGAAUCCUCAAGCAGCAGGUUGGCUUGAGGCAAGGACGUAAGCGGGGGCAAUGCUGGCUAAAUGGAAAAGCAGCUUAUAUCCUUGUCUAGCCAUGCCAAAUAGAACAUUGUUGUUAAGAUACAAAAUGAGUAUGAUUAUAUGCUUGGGCUGAUCACAUGUGAAAAAUGAUGAUGCUUGGGCAACAAUUAUAUUAUAUUUUUUUAAAUGAUCAUCUUCCAACUAAUUGAGUUGCAUCUCAAAAGGACAUUUUGUAAACUUCUUUCUUUGUAGGAGAAAUUUAUUUUCCUUUUUAGGCACUUGUGUCGUGUGCGGGAACUAUUUCAUUUGACUAUCUCGAGACUAAUAAAAAUUGCUGUAAACCAUUUGAAUAUGUUCAAUAAGAAGUUUAAAAUUGAACAGUGCA
Molecule: long non-coding RNA, 990 nt
Organism: Malania oleifera
Lineage: Eukaryota; Viridiplantae; Streptophyta; Magnoliopsida; Santalales; Ximeniaceae
Exons: 5
Source: RefSeq, a predicted model, not a curated record